UACGUAGGGCGCAAGCGUUGUCCGGAAUUAUUGGGCGUAAAGAGCUCGUAGGCGGCCAGUUGCGUCUGCUGUGAAAUCCCGGGGCUCAACCCCGGGCGUGCAGUGGAUACGGGCUGGCUAGAGGCAGGCAGGGGAGAACGGAAUUCCCGGUGUAGCGGUGAAAUGCGCAGAUAUCAGGAGGAACACCGAUGGCGAAGGCAGCUCGCUGGGACGGUACUGACACUCAACUACGAAAGCGUGGGGAGCAAACAGG
RNAcentral lists this ribosomal RNA (253 nucleotides) under uncultured bacterium. RNAcentral's name for it is "partial 16S ribosomal RNA". It matches the Rfam family "Bacterial small subunit ribosomal RNA", at positions 524 to 776 of the family's 1533-position model. The record is from RNAcentral.